RNAcentral lists this transfer RNA (59 nucleotides) under Calumma ambreense. RNAcentral describes it as "tRNA-Ser". The record is from RNAcentral. Lineage: Eukaryota; Metazoa; Chordata; Lepidosauria; Squamata; Chamaeleonidae.
GAAAGGAUCAAUAAAAACUGCUAACUCCUACCACUGGUACUAAUCUAUCAGUCCUUUCA